Molecule: non-coding RNA, 106 nt
Filed under: Streptomyces sp.
Lineage: Bacteria; Bacillati; Actinomycetota; Actinomycetes; Kitasatosporales; Streptomycetaceae
Description: Azaaromatic sequence
Rfam family: azaaromatic riboswitch aptamer (yjdF RNA)
Source: RNAcentral
GCCGGAACGCGCGAAAGCACAGCCCGGUCGGUAGUCCGGGCGCCGUCGGCCCUCGGCCGACGGCCAGUCAUUCCCUCCCAGGGUGUCCGGUGCGUUCCUCCCGGUG